Molecule: ribosomal RNA, 1573 nt
Filed under: marine metagenome
Description: bacterial LSU rRNA
Rfam family: Bacterial large subunit ribosomal RNA
Source: RNAcentral
AACUCGGUGAUAGCUGGUUCUCCGCGAAAUGCAUUUAGGUGCAGCGUUGCGUGUUCAGUCAUGGAGGUAGAGCACUGAAUGGGCUAGGGGCCCCACAAGGUUACCGACCCCAAUCAAACUCCGAAUGCCAUGACUCCAGAGCGCAGCAGUGAGACCUCGGGGGAUGAGCUUCGAUGGUCGAGAGGGAAACAGCCCAGAUCACCAGCUAAGGCCCCUAAUUCUGUACUAAGUGGUAAACGAUGUGGGAUUGCACAGACAGCCAGGAGGUUGGCUUAGAAGCAGCCACCCUUGAAAGAGUGCGUAAUAGCUCACUGGUCGAGUGAUCCUGCGCGGAUAAUGUAACGGGGCUCAAGUACAGAGCCGAAGCUGUGAAUUCCUAUGUAUGUAGGAGUGGUAGCGGAGCGUCGAUCUUGCAGCGAAGCGGCGGUGGAAACCGUUGUGGAGCGAGGUCGAGUGCGAAUGCAGGCAUGAGUAGCGAAAGAGGGGUGAGAAACCCCUCCGCCGAAUAUCCAAGGGUUCCUGGGGAAGGCUAAUCCUCCCAGGGUGAGUCGGGAGCUAAGACGAGGCCGACAGGCGUAGUCGAUGCACAACUGGUUGAUAUUCCAGUACCACCACAUUAUGCGCCCACGCUAAAGCAACUUUGCUAAGGGGAUGCUGCUAGCCCGUAAAACGGCCGGCAGAGAAACCGACCCAGGUUGUGGCGGCGAGCAAUGCGGGGACGCAGGAAGGUAGAUGAUCCCAGGCGAUGGUUGUCCUGGGGUAAGCGAGUAGGGAGAGGCCCAGGUAAGUCCGGUCCUCACGAUCCUGAGACGCGACGCCGAGCCGAAUCAGGCGAAGUCAUUGAUCCUAUGCUGCCAAGAAAAGCCGCUAGCUAGCACGUGUGGUGCCCGUACCCCAAACCAACACAGGUGGAUAGGUAGAGAAUACCAAGGCGAUUGAGAUAACUCUGGUUAAGGAACUCGGCAAAAUACAUCCGUAACUUCGGGAGAAGGAUGACCCCAUUAGGGUGACGGGACUUGCUCCCUGAGCUCGAAGGGGUGGCACAAACCAGUGGGAAGCGACUGUUUACUAAAAACACAGCAGCGUGCGAAGCCGUAAGGCGCUGUAUACGCUGUGACUCCUGCCCGGUGCUGGAAGGUUACGGGGAAGGGUUAGCCCUUGAGGCGAAGCUCUGAACCUAAGCCCCAGUAAACGGCGGCCGUAACUAUAACGGUCCUAAGGUAGCGAAAUUCCUUGUCGGGUAAGUUCCGACCUGCACGAAUGGAGUAACGACUCCCCAACUGUCUCAACCAGAGACUCAGCGAAAUUGAAGUACGAGUAAAGAUGCUCGUUAGCUGCAGAAGGACGGAAAGACCCCGUGGACCUUUACUAUAGUUUGGUAUUGGUUCUUGGUCUGAGUUGUGUAGGAUAGGUGGGAGACUAGGAAGCAUUGGCGCCAGCUAGUGUGGAGUCGUCCUUGAAAUACCACCCUUCUCAUGCUGGGAAUCUAACUUCGGCCCGUUAUCCGGGUCAGGGACAGUGCCAGAUGGGUAGUUUGACUGGGGCGGUCGCCUCCUAAAUGGUAACGGAGGCG